Molecule: ribosomal RNA, 1030 nt
Filed under: Escherichia coli
Lineage: Bacteria; Pseudomonadati; Pseudomonadota; Gammaproteobacteria; Enterobacterales; Enterobacteriaceae
Description: bacterial SSU rRNA
Rfam family: Bacterial small subunit ribosomal RNA
Source: RNAcentral
CCGCGGUAAUACGGAGGGUGCAAGCGUUAAUCGGAAUUACUGGGCGUAAAGCGCACGCAGGCGGUUUGUUAAGUCAGAUGUGAAAUCCCCGGGCUCAACCUGGGAACUGCAUCUGAUACUGGCAAGCUUGAGUCUCGUAGAGGGGGGUAGAAUUCCAGGUGUAGCGGUGAAAUGCGUAGAGAUCUGGAGGAAUACCGGUGGCGAAGGCGGCCCCCUGGACGAAGACUGACGCUCAGGUGCGAAAGCGUGGGGAGCAAACAGGAUUAGAUACCCUGGUAGUCCACGCCGUAAACGAUGUCGACUUGGAGGUUGUGCCCUUGAGGCGUGGCUUCCGGAGCUAACGCGUUAAGUCGACCGCCUGGGGAGUACGGCCGCAAGGUUAAAACUCAAAUGAAUUGACGGGGGCCCGCACAAGCGGUGGAGCAUGUGGUUUAAUUCGAUGCAACGCGAAGAACCUUACCUGGUCUUGACAUCCACGGAAGUUUUCAGAGAUGAGAAUGUGCCUUCGGGAACCGUGAGACAGGUGCUGCAUGGCUGUCGUCAGCUCGUGUUGUGAAAUGUUGGGUUAAGUCCCGCAACGAGCGCAACCCUUAUCCUUUGUUGCCAGCGGUCCGGCCGGGAACUCAAAGGAGACUGCCAGUGAUAAACUGGAGGAAGGUGGGGAUGACGUCAAGUCAUCAUGGCCCUUACGACCAGGGCUACACACGUGCUACAAUGGCGCAUACAAAGAGAAGCGACCUCGCGAGAGCAAGCGGACCUCAUAAAGUGCGUCGUAGUCCGGAUUGGAGUCUGCAACUCGACUCCAUGAAGUCGGAAUCGCUAGUAAUCGUGGAUCAGAAUGCCACGGUGAAUACGUUCCCGGGCCUUGUACACACCGCCCGUCACACCAUGGGAGUGGGUUGCAAAAGAAGUAGGUAGCUUAACCUUCGGGAGGGCGCUUACCACUUUGUGAUUCAUGACUGGGGUGAAGUCGUAACAAGGUAACCGUAGGGGAACCUGCGGUUGGAUCACCUCCUUACCUUAAAGAAGC